AACGAACGCUGGCGGCAGGCUUAACACAUGCAAGUCGAGCGCCUUGGCAACAAGGAGCGGCAGACGGGUGAGUAACCCGUGGGAAUCUACCCAUCUCUACGGAAUAACUCAGGGAAACUUGUGCUAAUACCGUAUACGCCCUUUUAGGGGAAAGAUUUAUCGGAGAUGGAUGAGCCCGCGUUGGAUUAGCUAGUUGGUGGGGUAAAGGCCUACCAAGGCGACGAUCCAUAGCUGGUCUGAGAGGAUGAUCAGCCACAUUGGGACUGAGACACGGCCCAAACUCCUACGGGAGGCAGCAGUGGGGAAUAUUGGACAAUGGGCGCAAGCCUGAUCCAGCCAUGCCGCGUGAGUGAUGAAGGCCCUAGGGUUGUAAAGCUCUUUCACCGGAGAAGAUAAUGACGGUAUCCGGAGAAGAAGCCCCGGCUAACUUCGUGCCAGCCGCCGCAGUAA
This 450-nucleotide ribosomal RNA is filed under the name uncultured bacterium. Its description in RNAcentral is "partial 16S ribosomal RNA". It matches the Rfam family "Bacterial small subunit ribosomal RNA", at positions 29 to 523 of the family's 1533-position model. The record is from RNAcentral.